Long non-coding RNA from Saccostrea cuccullata (small rock oyster), 1554 nucleotides. RefSeq lists it as uncharacterized. NCBI's taxonomy places the organism in Eukaryota, Metazoa, Mollusca, Bivalvia, Ostreida, Ostreidae. The transcript has 2 exons. The record is from RefSeq and is a predicted model, not a curated record.
GAUAAGAUAUGCAAGAACAUGCUCUACAUAUGAAUGAGUUAUUUACGAACAAGUUGAUGAAACAAGAAUAUUAGGAGUAUCUUUUGAAGUCAUCAUUUCUUAAAUUCUUUGGUCGAUACAAUGGCCUUUAUAUACGGUACAAUGUUUCAUUAAAUCAAAUGCAUACUGACGUGUUUCAUACUAACCAUUAGACCAUUAUAUACAUGUACAAACUUAUUUUUUACGGAUAUUUCUGUUAUUUUCCGAUCAUGUCAAAAAGUGCACGAUGGGUGUGACCUGUCGGCAGAUGUCCCAUCUCCAGUGUUUGGAAGUUUGUGAUUGCAAUGCUCCUAUAUUGUAUUGUUUAAUGGACGUAAAGCUUGCAUACUGUUCGUGAAUCGUUAUCUCCGUAUAUUUCAUGUUUCCAAAGUUUGCAAUUACAAAAAAAACAUACAGUUUCUAGAUGUUGCACAAUUUAAACAAUAUCAUUUUCAGUGUGCUUGCCAUUCUUUUUUCAACUUGUCUUUCUGGACAUAUCAAAGCUUAUUAUGUUAAUAUAGUUGAAAAUGAACACUGAACACUUUAUCAGAAUGAAUUGUGUAUUAAUUAUACCUUUAUAGCUGAUUGAUAAUACAGAUUUUAAUCUUUUUUGGCAAAAUGAAAAUUUUAUGAUUUGUUUUUUUAUGGCGUCGGGCUUGCCCGAUCGUCAUCUAGCGAUCAGUCAGGUUUACGCGACCGCACGUGUCAGUGGAUGCAUCCGCAAUAGAAAAUAGCAACAGCUGUAAACCAAUUUCUUUUAAAACGUUCACAAUGAAUAAUAGCUUGAAUAUAAAAUUAAAUCAAUUGUAUCUUCAAUUAAUACUACUACAAAACAACGAUAUUAUGUUUAAUUUUUACGCAAGAAAAACGUUAUGGUUGUUGCGGAUGAAUUUCUACUGAGAGGGUGCGUUGAAUGACAUGAAUCACAUUUUGGGACCGAUAACUGUAAUACAAGCAAUCUUAAUUAAAUACGGUAAAAUACUUACAAAAUAAACACGAAUACAACAAGACUAUAAAGAUUGAAUUUCUUAAUCUUAGCUUUACUUUUACGAUCUUCAGUCCAGUUUUAGCCGAACAACCUACGAUAUUGACCAGUAAUGCCAGUAUUACUGUAUUUAUCCAUUUCCUCCAUUUGUUUACCGCGCCUUAUCGUAAGUCGAUCGUACUUGUAACAUUAGAGUCAUGGUUGUAGUUAAGAUGCAAUCACUAUACAACAGAACAACACUCUGCCAAUGGCAAUUAAUUAAAAUGAUUUAUGAAACCCUUCAUAUGUCUUCGAUUGACUGAAAAGAAAUUAGAUUGAUAUAGAGGAUGGACAUUUCUGACGAUGUCUGGUCAAUUCGAACCCUGACUCAUUCGGAGCAGGACACAAGGCUAUCAGGCCCUAUACUGUAUUUGUGUUAAGACUAUUUUUUUUUAAAUUUUAUUAUUAUGUUACUGGAGUCACUCACUUGACCUAUUUGCAGAUCUUUUGAAAUUGUUUUUCUUGUUCGACGCCAUUGAAGCCUUUCAGGCUUUUGAUUUUUUCAUUUUGUU